Portunus trituberculatus (swimming crab) is the source of this 453-nucleotide long non-coding RNA. RefSeq lists it as uncharacterized. The record is from RefSeq and is a predicted model, not a curated record. NCBI's taxonomy places the organism in Eukaryota, Metazoa, Arthropoda, Malacostraca, Decapoda, Portunidae. The transcript is spliced from 2 exons.
CGUAACACGGGAGAAGCUGGGAGGAGAACGAGGGAGAAGGGUGUAACUGGAGUGAGUUGGUGAUCCGAAGCCAUGACUGCAGCGAUCCCGUGCGUCCUGCACCAUCAAGGGAAGGACUCUCUGGCUUCGCACUGCGCCUACAUUGACCGUUGCCGCCGCUGCUACCGCUACUCGGAGGGGCACUGCCUCGCAUUGGGCCUUCACUUCCGUCCCGCUAAUACACGUGUCGCCGUCGCAGCUACUGGCACUGAGGGACUUCGCCUCGCAGCGGCCUGGCAAACACCUGCUACACCACCACCACCACCACCACUAACUCCACCACCGCAGUCCAGAGAUUCAGCUUCGCAUAGCAGACAUCCUCCUAUUCAACGCUUGCUGCCACUACCACCUCAUUAUGGUGGUGUCACUGUACUUGGAUCUGUUGUCACUACUGAAUAAUAAUGUGUAAAGAAA